Molecule: ribosomal RNA, 709 nt
Filed under: Cytobacillus oceanisediminis
Lineage: Bacteria; Bacillati; Bacillota; Bacilli; Caryophanales; Bacillaceae
Description: bacterial SSU rRNA
Rfam family: Bacterial small subunit ribosomal RNA
Source: RNAcentral
UGCAAGUCGAGCGGACAGAUGGGAGCUUGCUCCCUGAAGUCAGCGGCGGACGGGUGAGUAACACGUGGGCAACCUGCCUGUAAGACUGGGAUAACUCCGGGAAACCGGGGCUAAUACCGGAUAAUUCUUUCCCUCACAUGAGGGAAAGCUGAAAGAUGGUUUCGGCUAUCACUUACAGAUGGGCCCGCGGCGCAUUAGCUAGUUGGUGAGGUAACGGCUCACCAAGGCGACGAUGCGUAGCCGACCUGAGAGGGUGAUCGGCCACACUGGGACUGAGACACGGCCCAGACUCCUACGGGAGGCAGCAGUAGGGAAUCUUCCGCAAUGGACGAAAGUCUGACGGAGCAACGCCGCGUGAGUGAUGAAGGUUUUCGGAUCGUAAAACUCUGUUGUUAGGGAAGAACAAGUACCGGAGUAACUGCCGGUACCUUGACGGUACCUAACCAGAAAGCCACGGCUAACUACGUGCCAGCAGCCGCGGUAAUACGUAGGUGGCAAGCGUUGUCCGGAAUUAUUGGGCGUAAAGCGCGCGCAGGCGGUUCCUUAAGUCUGAUGUGAAAGCCCCCGGCUCAACCGGGGAGGGUCAUUGGAAACUGGGGAACUUGAGUGCAGAAGAGAAGAGUGGAAUUCCACGUGUAGCGGUGAAAUGCGUAGAGAUGUGGAGGAACACCAGUGGCGAAGGCGACUCUUGGUCUGUAACUGACGCUGA